AGUCUAGUGGUGUAUUUCACGUCGGAUUGCAAAUCCGAAAAAGCGGGCGGCCACCCGCCUAGGCUU
RNAcentral lists this transfer RNA (66 nucleotides) under Muraenesox bagio (common pike conger). RNAcentral describes it as "tRNA-Cys". The record is from RNAcentral. Lineage: Eukaryota; Metazoa; Chordata; Actinopteri; Anguilliformes; Muraenesocidae.